AAACAUUAUUUUUCCGAAAAAUUUCUAAACGAUACUUCAGAGCAAGUGUUAUGGUAGAAAAAUUGAACAUACACACAAUAAAUAAAAAAACCACAUCAUAGAAAAACCAAUAUAUACCCUCGCUAUGCUUCAUAUCUAAAAUAACAUAUUCUAAUCUUUAAAUAUUAAUUUUUUCAGCAGUUUUUUUUAUUUUUAAUGUAUAGUUGUAUAUAUUUCGACUUAAUAAUUGAAGUUUAGCUUAUACAAUUUAACAGGAUAUUAAAUCUUAGUAUAGAUGUUUAGAAUAAAUAAAACACUCUAGAUAUUCUUGUUAAUUUGCAUUUUUAUUUUAUUUUAUUUAUAUAAAAUUAAAAUUGUAUACUAUCCAAUAAGAUAAAGAAUAUUCAAUACAAGAUAAAUUGUGUACAUGUCAUUUGUAUAGUCGCGUUUUGUUUAUCGAACGAGCAACAUGUAUGUUCCGCUCUCGAAUUUUGAAUAUACGCGUUCGUUUAGUAAUAUACUAACUAUGAAUAUGUCUUCGCCUUUGACACACGCGUGUUGGGGCUUGGAUCGUCUUUCGGAAUGUCUGUGACGGUUCAGGUUUUAGUUGACCAUGCAUUUAUACUACAAAUACAACAAGACAACGAAAAACUUAACUAAGUUUGUAACCCAAUUACAUUUGAGCAAAGCAAUACUACAGAGUGAAUUAUUACAUUUCCAAGUGAGUAAUAUUAAUGAUCCUAAUAAAAAUAUCGAAUACAAUACGAAGAAAAAUGAGAAGUUGGAUUCUAAUUCAGGUGUUAGUAAAAGCCGCAAUAUGAUUGAGCGAAAUAUCUGGGAAAACAUCUUGACUCACGACUUCACUGGAACAUCGUGUACGCCAGAAAAAGUUGCAAACAAAAAAUGCACAAACUGUUGUGGCUAGUUGGUUGACAAUCCGAGCUAGUCUUAACCAGCAAACGUAUCUUGUAUGUAUCGAUUCUUAAACCGAUUAGGAUUUAUGGUAUUCGACUGUGGGGUUUUGUCAGUAAGUCCAAUAUCGAAAUAAUACAACGAUGCCAGAUGAUCGCUUUUUGUACCAUUUUCGCAGCAUAUCGUUAUGAUAAGAACGGCAUAAUUCACCGCGAUUUGAAAAUGUCAUCUGUGCAGGAUAAAAUUACCCGAUUUGCUCGCAAACAUGCAAGAAAACUGGAGCUCCACACAAAUGCGACUGCCAAACAGCUCCUCGACUACUCGAAGGAUAUCAGACGACUCAAACGACUGAAGCUAUUUGACUUAGUCUAAUGAUUAGUUUAAGAAUGGGACUGCUUCAAUGGAAGUAAAACCCCACACAAGUUUUGUAUAUAUAUUUUGCAUUGUAUGCAUAAAUACUUCUAUUGAUUUAUAUUUAUAAAGAUUCUUUUAUCGUUAAAAAAAAAAAAAAAAGUCAAUUUUACUGUAAAAUGAAUGGUUUUAGGUUAUUUUUCAAACUGUUUCGAUUUGUGUUAGUGCAUUUAAAUUCAAACGGGAACGUCAUUGUUCUAACUUUUGAUAACUAGGUUAAACACACAUUGUAACCUUGUUUAUUAUUCUACAUUCCACUCUCCACACAUGUUCCACCCAGCUAAGACUUCGACUUUUCAUGACACCUACUUUAUCGGUUUCGUUAAAUGUUUUCCUUUAUACUGCGUUUGUCCUUUUCUUUAUCCUUUAUUCAUAUUCAUUGUUUUCAUUGAUCUUUUCAUGGCCAAAUAUCAUCUUUAGUAUUUUCUUCUCAAAUAUCAUUAGUUUCUUUUAGUCCCCUUUUAUUGAUUCCCAUCCCCGAAUGUAUGUAAUGCAAUAUGCCCGACUUUGGCUUUAUAUAGCCUAAUUUUGCCCUCCUGGAUUCUAGUUUUGACACUGUAAAUAUUUUUUACUGAAUAACAUUUUAAAAACAAAAUUCCAAAUUAUAAAAGAAAUAUUAUCAUAAAUUGUCCCGUUCUUUGAAAGAAUAAUAUUUGUAGGUUAUAAAUUGAAAUAAAAAUCGUAUUUCUUGUAUUUUAUUUUUUCCCCGAUUAUUAUGCAAAUUACAUUGGAUAUCAAAAAUCGAAUUUUUCUGUUAGUGGCUACCAACUUUUAAGUUGGGGCAAUAUUUCCGGUAUAUAACCUGGUGAACAGAAAUCAAAAAAAAAAAAGGAAACGAUGGCGCCGAAGUAUGCCAUAAAUAUUUGCCUUUUUACACAUAAUUAUUUUUCUGAUUUUUCCCAUAUAUUUUAAAAAUUAUUCAGAAUUUUAAAAAAUGACCAUUUUUAGUAACUAAAAAAUAUUAUUUUUCAGAAAAAGUUCUACUCGAUAUUUCAGAGCAAGUGUUCUGGUAUAAAAAUUAAUCAUACGCUCACAAAAAAAAAAUUCAAUAU
Cinara cedri is the source of this 2354-nucleotide non-coding RNA. Lineage: Eukaryota; Metazoa; Arthropoda; Insecta; Hemiptera; Aphididae. The record is from the annotation of a GenBank genome assembly.